GGAGUUUGGACCGUGUCUCAGUUCCAAUGUGGGGGACCUUCCUCUCAGAACCCCUACUGAUCGCAGGCUCGGUGGGCCGUUACCCCGCCGACAACCUAAUCAGACGCAUCCCCAUCCCAUAGCGAUGAAUCUUUGCUCCAACUUAGAUGUCUGCAUUGGAGAACAUAGGGAAUUAAUCCGACUUUCGCCGGGCUGUGCCCUACUACGGGGAAGGUUGGAUACGCGUUACUCACCCGUGCGCCGGUCGCCAUCUAUCAAAGCAAGCUUCGAUAAUGAUGCCCCUCGACUUGCAUGUGUUAAGCCUGUAGCUAGCGUUCAUC
This 320-nucleotide ribosomal RNA is filed under the name uncultured Prevotella sp. Its description in RNAcentral is "partial 16S ribosomal RNA". Lineage: Bacteria; Pseudomonadati; Bacteroidota; Bacteroidia; Bacteroidales; Prevotellaceae. The record is from RNAcentral.